Molecule: ribosomal RNA, 433 nt
Filed under: uncultured bacterium
Lineage: Bacteria
Description: partial 16S ribosomal RNA
Rfam family: Bacterial small subunit ribosomal RNA
Source: RNAcentral
AACGAACGCUGGCGGCAUGCCUAACACAUGCAAGUCGAACGAGACCUUCGGGUCUAGUGGCGCACGGGUUCGUAACGCGUGGGAACCUUCCCUUAGGUUCGGAAUACCUCCCCGAAAGGGGUGCUAAUACCGGAUAAUGUCUUCGGACCAAGGAUUUAUCGCCUUUGGAUGGGCCCGCGUUGGAUUAGCUAGUUGGUAGGGUAAAAGCCUACCAAGGCGACGAUCCGUAGCUGGUCUGAGAGGAUGAUCAGCCACACUGGGACUGAGACACGGCUCAGACUCCUACGGGAGGCAGCAGUGGGGAAUAUUGGACAAUGGGCGAAAGCCUGAUCCAGCAAUGCCGCGUGAGUGAUGAAGGCCUUAGGGUUGUAAAGCUCUUUUACCCGGGAUGAUAAUGACAGUACCGGGAGAAUAAGCUCCGGCUAACUCCGUG